Capsicum annuum is the source of this 1789-nucleotide RNA transcript. RefSeq lists it as uncharacterized. Lineage: Eukaryota; Viridiplantae; Streptophyta; Magnoliopsida; Solanales; Solanaceae. The transcript has 2 exons. The record is from RefSeq and is a predicted model, not a curated record.
AUAGGGUAUUGGGGGUGGGGUAGAUGAUUUUGAGAAUUGUAUGAACAUUUUAACUUUAAAGUGAGGUUGAAAGAGAGUUUUAAAAAUGUUUUCCUUACUUUUUGAAGGGAAGUCAUUUUCCUUAGAUUUAAGGAAAAUAAGUUGGUUUGGAAAACAUUUGUUAAAACAUAUUAGCCAACCUAACAUAAGAAAACUGGAAAAAUGUUUUCCUUCAUACCAAACACACCCUAAUAUGUUAAUAUUUUUUAGACUAAGCGGGUUAAGUUGGGUGGGUCACGACCCAACCCGAUUUUUACCCAUUUCAACCCAAAGUGAAUUUGGCCGGGUCAUGACCCAACCCGAUAUCCAAUUCAACCCAUUUAAUAUCUUCAUUCUCAGCCCAACCUGCCCAUUUGACACCCCUAGUAGUAGGUAAUUAGUUGAGGCGUCCAAGUUAGCCUGGAGCCCCGUACAUCACGGUUUUAAAAUAAAAGCUGCUCUAGACGCCACUAUCAUAGAAUAGUAAAUAAUAUCCAUGAUAAUGAAUAUUGCCCAAGCAGUGGCCUUGAGUGACCUACUUCUUGAGGAAUAUUUUAAAAACAAUUUGCUAGGUUCUUCUUCGGUGGGUUUGUGGGUUGGGCUAAUCUUGAUUUCUGCUAGGAAUCACAUAUAUUUUCUUGUAUAUCUCAUUUUUGAUGUUUUGUUUGAGCUAAAGAAUCACUGCUAGUGCAACCUAAAAUUCUCGUAGAUAAUUUUUUUUUAUUUAUUUUUUUUUUUUUUACAUUUUGAUUUGUAUGAAGUUGAAUCUAUAUUUAGUGGAAUAUUAAUGAGAACUAAGAGAAGAACGAGUGAUGCUAGAAGUUCUUAAAAUCCAUGGGUGAGUCCUCUGAAGCUGCUAUGCGAGUUGAGAAGUAGCACAUCUUUUAAAAGAAGCUUCAGGAUAUAUCCGUAAAGGAGUGAGUUACAUGAUAUUGCAUUGUUAGGGGAUCUGUGGGGUAAUUUUACGUUUUUAAAUGUAAUAAAUUGGACAACGCCAAGAACUGUGAUUGGUUGGUUGCUUGACAUGAAAUGAGAGCUGUAGAAGAAAGCUUAUAAAACCUUUUUUUUCCAUUACUGAUAAAUCCCAGAGGACCCAUGGUGCUCGGUUACCGAGCUUUUGUUUGCGGCACAGUAAGCUACAAAAACCUUUAUUUUCUCAUAUGAUAGUAGAUAAUUAGGAAAGAAUUAGUCUAAAGUUAACUUGCUGUAUAAUUGAUAUUCUUGAUGGAAAGUAGAUAACACAGUAACUUAAUACAGAUUUCUGAGGUUUUCUAUCUGUUGCUUUUGUCGAAAAAGAUAGUGUCAUCAUUCUACGGUCGAAAAGCAGAUACGGCAAGAAUGAAAUGUUUCAUGAGGAAGCUUCCUGUAUUUUGAGAUAGAUUGUAGGUGCUUUUCUAUUCAGCUGUUUAAGAAAAUGCAUCUUCACACUGUUCAUCGAGUUUUCUUUUCUCCAUCCAGCAACAAAAAGCCCCAGGAGGAAUCUGCCAAGCCUCAGGAUGGACCUACGACUAUGCAAGAUGUGGAAAAGAAGAUGUCCGACAUCAAAGUGGAGUGAAGAUCAUAUAUAUAUUAUAUUGGACGUUGAGUUCUGCCACUCCGGGAAUAGCAUCUUUUUGUGAUACCUUUUUGACUACUUAAUUUAUGGUAAUUAUCUGUUAUGACAAAUGCUAUCCUUAAUUUGUUAGUAUCAGAAACUUUACUCAUAUACCAAUGAAUAUGGUUGUAUUAGUCAUACUUUUAGAUAUAUCAAUUUAUGCUCUGUAUUCCUUCA